CCCAGGCAGACAAGAUUCUGCUGAGAUGCCCUAUUGCCACAAAUGAGCUUCCUUUUGUUGUUUGCUCUCUUGUCCUUGACGGCUGCUUCUAUUGUUCAGCUGCCAGAUGUGAUCAUUAUGGAAGGGGCUGCAACCACACUGGCAUGUUCUCAGCUUAAGACCAGCCAUGCAUAUAUGUCCUGGUACAAGCAAGAAAAGAGGAGGGAAGCCCAUUCACAGUUCCAGCUGGUGGUUUUUACAUCUGAAGGUUCUCCAGGAGAAUCUGCCAUUGAGCAACCUUUCAAAAACCGCUUCAAGACCUCAGGGUUGAAGUCAAAUGCCUUGCCUCUAUCUCUGGAGAAUGCCCAGCUGGAAGACACAGGCACCUACUACUGUGCUUCACAAGAGCACACAGCCGAGCAAAUGCUGAGGAAGCCAAGCCAAAACCUCUUCACAGGAAACUCCCCUGUGGCAGAUCCUUCCCAAUAA
Crotalus tigris (Tiger rattlesnake) is the source of this 468-nucleotide non-coding RNA. The record is from the annotation of a RefSeq genome assembly. Lineage: Eukaryota; Metazoa; Chordata; Lepidosauria; Squamata; Viperidae.